AGUAACGCGUGAGGAACCUGCCUCAAAGAGGGGGACAACAGCUGGAAACGACUGCUAAUACCGCAUAAGCCCACAGCUCGGCAUCGAGCAGAGGGAAAAGGAGCAAUCCGCUUUGAGAUGGCCUCGCGUCCGAUUAGCUAGUUGGUGAGGUAACGGCCCACCAAGGCGACGAUCGGUAGCCGGACUGAGAGGUUGAACGGCCACAUUGGGACUGAGACACGGCCCAG
This 227-nucleotide ribosomal RNA is filed under the name uncultured bacterium. RNAcentral's name for it is "partial 16S ribosomal RNA". It matches the Rfam family "Bacterial small subunit ribosomal RNA", at positions 109 to 334 of the family's 1533-position model. The record is from RNAcentral.